RNAcentral lists this long non-coding RNA (385 nucleotides) under Salvia miltiorrhiza (redroot sage). Its description in RNAcentral is "long non-coding RNA (SMIL_LNC005892)". Lineage: Eukaryota; Viridiplantae; Streptophyta; Magnoliopsida; Lamiales; Lamiaceae. The record is from RNAcentral.
GGCAUGCUUCGCACCUUCUCUUCGACCAUCAACAACACCUCACGAUAAUUUCUACGUGUACUACGCUUAGUAAGAUGAAACACCAUCUCGUCGAGCGAGGGAGCAUUUUGCAGGAGACUCCCUAUAAAUGGAAUUAUUGAGGGGUCCUGUGAAGAACAAGUUAUAUCAACUCUCUUUAGAUGGAUCAGUGAGGGACUGGGGAAUGCCGUCUCAUCGCUGAUGGGAUCAAAAACCUCGAACCCCUAUCAAAGAAAUUACUAAUUUAGUACUCAAAAGAGUGUAUCAAUUUCCCAUUUAGGAUGUGAACUUUAUUCUUAAAAGUGAAUAAAAGUGAAACCUGGUCUAGUCCAUGAAAAUAUAACAUCUUCAACUUUGGGAACAACUC